This 1437-nucleotide ribosomal RNA is filed under the name metagenome. RNAcentral describes it as "bacterial LSU rRNA". It matches the Rfam family "Bacterial large subunit ribosomal RNA", at positions 1473 to 2925 of the family's 2925-position model. The record is from RNAcentral.
UACAGAAGCGAAGCACAAGCCGGGAAUGGAAAUACCGGUGCAAGCUAAGGAGCAGUGUGAGAGGCAAAUCCCUCAUAUAAUGCGAGAGAGUGAAGCGUAGCGAACAUAAGGGUAGCGAAGUGUGUGGAGAGGCUGUCAGGAAAAGCCGCUAUUGUGUAUCAUGAACCCGUACCGUAAACCGACACAGGUGGAUGAGGAGAGAAUCCUAAGGCCGACGGAAGAAGCAUUGUUAAGGAAUUCGGCAAAAAUGACCCCGUAACUUCGGGAGAAGGGGUGCCUGCGCAAGCAGGUCGCAGAGAAUUGGCCCAAGCAACUGUUUAGCAAAAACACAGGUUUAUGCGAAACCGAAAGGUGAAGUAUAUGAGCUGACGCCUGCCCGGUGCUGGAAGGUUAAGGGGAGUGCUUAGACUUUAGUCGAAGGUGCGAACUUAAGCCCCAGUAAACGGCGGCCGUAACUAUAACGGUCCUAAGGUAGCGAAAUUCCUUGUCGGGUAAGUUCCGACCCGCACGAAAGGCGUAAUGAUUGGGCGCUGUCUCGACAAUGCAUCCGGUGAAAUUGAAGUACCAGUGAAGAUGCUGGUUACCCGCGCCAGGACGGAAAGACCCCAUGGAGCUUUACUCUAGUUUGAUGCUGGGAUUCGAUACUGCAUGUACAGGAUAGGCGGGAGACUGAGAAGUAGUGACGUCAGUUGCUACAGAGUCGCUGUUGGGAUACCGCCCCUGCAGUAUUGGGUUUCUAACCUGCGGCCGUAAGCCGGUCGGGGGACAACGUCAGGCGGGGAGUUUGGCUGGGGCGGUCGCCUCCGAAAGGGUAUCGGAGGCGCUCAAAGGUUCCCUCAGAAUGGUCGGAAACCAGUCGAAGAGUGCAAAGGCAGAAGGGAGCUUGACUGCGAGACCGACGGGUCGAGCAGGUACGAAAGUAGGACUUAGUGAUCCGGUGGUAUGAAAGUGGGAUUGCCAUCGCUCAACGGAUAAAAGCUACCCUGGGAUAACAGGCUUAUCACUCCCAAGAGUUCACAUCGACGGAGUGGUUCGGCACCUUGAUGUCGGCUCAUCGCAUCCUGGGGCUGUAGCAGGUCCCAAGGGUUGGGCUGUUCGCCCAUUAAAGCGGUACGCGAGCUGGGUUCAGAACGUCGUGAGACAGUUCGGUCCCUAUCCGGCGCGGGCGUAGGAUAUCUGAAAGGAGCUGGCCUUAGUACGAGAGGACCGGGCUGGACGAACCGCUGGUUCACCUGUUGUCAUACCAAUGGCAUAGCAGGGUAGCCAAGUUUGGAAGGGAUAAACGCUGAAGGCAUCUAAGCGUGAAGCCCCCCUUAAGAUAAGAUAUCCCUGGAGUAAUCCAGUAAGACCCCUUGAAGACGACGAGGUAGAUAGGGCAGAGGUGGAAGUGUGGUAACACAUGCAGCUGACUGUCACUAAUAGGUCGAGGGCUUGAGC